AGGUCUUUCAAAGGUUGUAAUGUGGCUUAGGUUACAAGAAAGGAUAUGAUUAAGAGAAUUCAUCAAAGUUGUCUAUCCUAAGGGAGCAUUCCCAAACAUUCAACUCUACACAAUUUCCAUUUCUUUGAUCCCUAUCUUUUUCUUUUUCUUUUCACAUCCACACAACCAUGAGCAUUUUCUUUGCUUUUUUCUUUCUUUUCUU
RNAcentral lists this long non-coding RNA (202 nucleotides) under Lathyrus oleraceus (garden pea). RNAcentral describes it as "Pisum sativum (pea) long non-coding RNA (PSAT_LNC042130)". Lineage: Eukaryota; Viridiplantae; Streptophyta; Magnoliopsida; Fabales; Fabaceae. The record is from RNAcentral.